Long non-coding RNA from Saccostrea cuccullata (small rock oyster), 719 nucleotides. RefSeq lists it as uncharacterized. Lineage: Eukaryota; Metazoa; Mollusca; Bivalvia; Ostreida; Ostreidae. The transcript is spliced from 3 exons. The record is from RefSeq and is a predicted model, not a curated record.
UACUCAAAGUUGCUUAUAAUUCUAACAAAUACCCUCAUUAAUAUAAAAGUCUUUAUACCUAUACCAUAUAGUCUCACAGUCCAUAAGUCAGCAUCAUCAUCGUGAAAGAAGAAAGUUUGUUUCACAUCACACAGAAUUCCUGUUUCCCUUAACUUCCACAAAUUAGAGUAUAAAUUGGCAGUUACCACGUCUGAUUGACAUCUCUGGCGAUCACAUCAAAUUAGUCUAUUAUUCAGGUUAAUAUAUCUGGAAUGCCUGUAACAAGGAGUUGAUGAUCUGUUUUAAUACUGUUCAUAAUUAUGUGAUCCCUAAUUGUAGGUGGUUACCCAAGAUGUAGGGUAGAGUGACACUUGACAGCUAGAACAUUAUGGCAUGCAGGCAGGAGUCUUGGUUUGCAUUUAUCCUUCCUGUGCUGAUCAAACUGCAUGUGGACUUGUAUCAAACUUUUUCAAACAACCAUGGAUCAGUGCUGUAUAUUCUUAAGGGCACUCACAGAAAGGUGGACAACCAAAUAAAUGAUCCACAGGCAGUGCUGGUUCCCUGCUCAGCAUCAUUAAACUUGAACUGGUUUCUAUGCUCUCUUAAAUUGAAGUAAAGAUCUGUAUGCCAGUAGUUAUACAAAAGGAGUUCUGUUCAAGGGACCUACAAUAUCCAGAUCAACCCUUUCAAGUGGAGCACCAACAAUAUAUUGUUUCAGUGGAGCCUUAGGAGUGCGGGUU